This 245-nucleotide ribosomal RNA is filed under the name uncultured bacterium. RNAcentral describes it as "partial small subunit ribosomal RNA". It matches the Rfam family "Bacterial small subunit ribosomal RNA", at positions 26 to 285 of the family's 1533-position model. The record is from RNAcentral.
AGAAUCAACGCUGGCGGCGUGCCUAACACAUGCAAGUCGCACGAGAAAGGGUAGCAAUACCUGAGUAAAGUGGCGCACGGGUGAGUAACACGUGAAUCAUCUACCUCCGAGUGGGGAAUAACUGAGAGAAAUCUUAGCUAAUACCGCAUAACACUUACGAGUCAAAGCAGCAAUGCGCUUGGAGAGGAGUUCGCGGCAGAUUAGUUAGUUGGCGGGGUAAUGGCCCACCAAGACGAUGAUCUGUA